This 448-nucleotide ribosomal RNA is filed under the name uncultured bacterium. Its description in RNAcentral is "partial 16S ribosomal RNA". It matches the Rfam family "Bacterial small subunit ribosomal RNA", at positions 330 to 794 of the family's 1533-position model. The record is from RNAcentral.
UCCAGACUCCUACGGGAGGCAGCAGUGGGGGAUAUUGCACAAUGGGGGGAACCCUGAUGCAGCGACGCCGCGUGGGUGAAGGAGCGUUUCGGCGCGUAAAGCCCUCUCGGCAGGGAAGAAGGAGGACGGUACCUGACUAAGAAGCCCCGGCUAACUGCGUGCCAGCAGCCGCGGUAAUACGUAGGGGGCAAGCGUUAUCCGGAUUUACUGGGUGUAAAGGGAGCGUAGACGGCGAUGCAAGCCAGAUGUGAAAGCCCGGGGCCCAACCCCGGGACUGCUCUUGGAACUGCGCGGCUGGAGUGCAGGAGGGGCAGGCGGAAUUCCCGGUGUAGCGGUGAAAUGCGUAGAUAUCAGGAGGAACACCGGUGGCGAAGGCGGCCUGCUGGACUGCGACUGACGUUGAGGCCCGAAAGCGUGGGGAGCAAGCAGGAUUAGAUACCCGCGUAGU